AAAGACAUAAAUAAAUUUAUUUUUUUUAAAAUUCUCAAGUUGUUUCCCACUGCAUUGACAGGAACAUAUAAAAAGGAGUAGAAUUUAGAAAAAAGAAAAAACAAGUUUAAAAAGAAAGGAACAAAACCCUUUUGAGAUAUAGUGCCUUUUUGCUCUUUUUAUCCCUUCCAUAUUUCUCUCCACAGCAACUGCAGUGGCAGAGACAAAAGAUGCUAAUCAGUGGUCUUUGUCAUUUCCAAUUUUUUCCUUGGAAACCACCUGGUUCUUUUGAAGCUGAUUUUUCUGCAAUAGAAGAUUGAAAGAAUCCAAAGUGCUUCUUCAGUGAAGAUUUCCCCUUGAAAUGUGUUGCCGAGAAACCUUGUGAAAAUUCCAGGACAUGAUUCAUUGAAGCUUCAUUCUUGCCUACUUUCUUGCCCAACACAGGAGAACUUGCAGUAUCAUCAAGAUAUGAAUGCUGCUGGCUUCGACCAUAUUCUUUGCUCUUCUUUUUGCUUUUAUUCUUCUUGGCCAAUUGAUCAAAGCAAUCUUCAUCAUCUUGACAAUAAUGUGGAGGUCUAGAGGAUGCAUCUGAAACCAUGGACAAAUCCUCUUCUUCUUCAUCAUCUACUUUUGCAUAGUUUCCAUCAACAAACCCACCAUAGCCCUGAUACUGAUUCUUGGAAAGAGAGGAUUGAUCCAAGUACAACGUCCAACCAGAUUCACAUCCACUACUACUGCAAUGAGAAGCUGACAUAUUCAUUCCCAAUCUCCUAACCUUGAGCCCAAAACUACAAAUAAUGGGU
RNAcentral lists this unclassified non-coding RNA (782 nucleotides) under Hevea brasiliensis (rubber tree). Lineage: Eukaryota; Viridiplantae; Streptophyta; Magnoliopsida; Malpighiales; Euphorbiaceae. The record is from RNAcentral.